RNAcentral lists this ribosomal RNA (491 nucleotides) under uncultured bacterium. RNAcentral's name for it is "partial 16S ribosomal RNA". It matches the Rfam family "Bacterial small subunit ribosomal RNA", at positions 29 to 506 of the family's 1533-position model. The record is from RNAcentral.
AGUGAACGCUGGCGGUAGGCCUAACACAUGCAAGUCGAACGGCAGCACAGUAAGAGCUUGCUCUUACGGGUGGCGAGUGGCGGACGGGUGAGGAAUACAUCGGAAUCUACCUUUUCGUGGGGGAUAACGUAGGGAAACUUACGCUAAUACCGCAUACGACCUACGGGUGAAAGCAGGGGAUCUUCGGACCUUGCGCGAUUGAAUGAGCCGAUGUCGGAUUAGCUAGUUGGCGGGGUAAAGGCCCACCAAGGCGACGAUCCGUAGCUGGUCUGAGAGGAUGAUCAGCAGCACUGGAACUGAGACGCGGUCCAGAAUCCUACGGGAGGCAGCAGUGGGGAAUAUUGGAGAAGGGGCGGAAGCCUGAUCCAGCCAUACCGCGUGGGUGAAGAAGGCCUUCGGGUUGUAAAGCCCUUUUGUUGGGAAAGAAAAGCAGCAGGUUAAUACCCCGCUGUUCUGACGGUACCCAAAGAAUAAGCACCGGCUAACUUCGU